Molecule: ribosomal RNA, 186 nt
Filed under: uncultured bacterium
Lineage: Bacteria
Description: partial 16S ribosomal RNA
Rfam family: Bacterial small subunit ribosomal RNA
Source: RNAcentral
CCUACGGGGGGCUGCAGUGGGGAAUAUUGGACAAUGGGCGCAAGCCUGAUCCAGCAAUGCCGCGUGGGUGAAGAAGGUCUUCGGAUUGUAAAGCCCUUUCGGCGGGGACGAUGAUGACGGUACCCGCAGAAGAAGCCCCGGCUAACUUCGUGCCAGCAGCCGCGGUAAUACGAAGGGGGCUAGCGU